This is a long non-coding RNA of Brassica rapa (field mustard), 957 nucleotides long. RefSeq lists it as uncharacterized. The record is from RefSeq and is a predicted model, not a curated record. NCBI's taxonomy places the organism in Eukaryota, Viridiplantae, Streptophyta, Magnoliopsida, Brassicales, Brassicaceae.
UACUACAAGUUAGAGGCUUAGGUUCUUAGGGGUCAGAAAGAAACUUAAUAUUUAAGAAAACAGUUACUGCCAUAAAAAAAUAAUUAAGAGAAUACUUUGACAAAAAAAGGAAAAAAAAGAAAGGAAUCAAGAGACACGUAAUAUUUCAUGGCUAACCCUAGCACCCUAGAUGUCGAACGCUGAGACAUUUAUAGAACACUAUAAUUGUUAUUUAUGUCGAAACCAAAAUAGUAGAUUCGAUGAUUCUUAAAUAAAACAUACAUACGAAUUGUAAUACGUCAGCGUAACUAUAAAUAUAUGACAUCAUUAUGUGCUUGGAUAACUGGAUGAUCACAAGAAAUAAAUAAUAAUAGAAAAAUAUGGGUAAUUAAUAUUUGUUUAUCGCGUUUCAAACUAGUAUAGUAAUAUUUGCAGAGUAAAUAACUGUCGAAAAGCUUCUUAGAAUUUAGAACAACAUCGGUGAUCUCUCACCAAAAUAUUUCACUAAAUAAUCAAUAAAAAGGUAAAAAUAAAAAGAGUGAUGAAACUCUCAAAUAAUGGAGACCCCUAUCCACUUGUUUUAAUUUAAAUGAUCAUAAUUUUUAGCCUUAACAUUUAAUUAUAUAGUUAAAAAAUUUAAAUAUCAAUUUAUUAUUGCGGAUAUUUUUUAUCUACAAAAUCGAUAAGUAAAAAUGCUUUUAGUAAAACAGUAUUUGAGUCUUUCCCAAAUUUCUCAUCUUUAAAAUAAGAAAAAAAAAUUGAAAGAAAAAUAAAGUGAGCCAAAAAAGGAAGAAGCAUUUUAAAAAAUUACAAAGUAUAUGAGAAAUUUAUGUGUGAUAUUACUUUAUGAAUAAUUAUUUUUAUUAUAUAAUGAAUUAUAUUAAUAUUUAAGACAUGAAAUACUCUAUGGAAAAUUAUACUAGACUACUAGUAAUGUAGAAUAGCAAAAUUAGAUGGAUAAGCAAAUUAACAAAAAAA